CUCCCCGUCUCCCCAGGUUUUUGUUUUUGUUUUUUUUGUUUUUUUUUUAUCCACAGAUUCUCUCUCUGUCUCGGAGAUUUAUUGCUUCGACAAUCCUCUGCCAGAGAUGUUCGGUGGGUUUUUCUAGAAUCGGCCAAGAAUUCAAUCUCAAAUGCGUCUUCGUUCUGAUUUUCAGCCUCUCUGUGUUCCUCCCUGUCAUAUUUUGGCUUCUUCCUUUUCACUCAUCGCUUUCUGGGUUUGUUGCAAAAUACGCAAUCAAGCAGUGAUCGAAAUUGGAGAAACACGAUGUGGCGAAGCAGCUUCGUCGAGACCCCUAUGAAGUUCUCGGCGUCUCAAGGAACUCCACAGAUCAGGAAAUCAAAAGCGCUUAUCGAAAAAUGGCUCUCAAUUAUCUGCUCAUAAUAUCAAGUAUCAAUUCUGGGUUUUUCAAGUAGCAAACCAAUUGACCCGAAAAUUCUUGGUGGAAACAAAGAAAUCGGUUCAACAAGCCAGCAAAAUUGGGUAUGUGAUGGGGUUCAGAAACAGUUGUGGGUCAGAUAGCAAUGGUCGUGCAGGAUGAUUAUGGGUGUGGUGGAAUGAUGCAGUGGAAGUAUUGCCAACUUAUAGGUCUGCGAAUAUAAUUGCUUUGUAGAUUCAAGAUGAUAUUAGAGUAGUUUGGUUCAUUGUUUUUUUGUAUGGCCAUCCAUCAGUUUCAAGAAGAGGAGAGGUGUGGUGUCAAGUG
This is a non-coding RNA of Camellia sinensis, 721 nucleotides long. NCBI's taxonomy places the organism in Eukaryota, Viridiplantae, Streptophyta, Magnoliopsida, Ericales, Theaceae. The record is from RefSeq and is a predicted model, not a curated record.